UGAACGCUGGCGGCGUGCCUAAUACAUGCAAGUCGAGCGAACGGACGAGAAGCUUGCUUCUCUGAUGUUAGCGGCGGACGGGUGAGUAACACGUGGAUAACCUACCUAUAAGACUGGGAUAACUUCGGGAAACCGGAGCUAAUACCGGAUGAUAUUUUGAACCGCAUGGUUCAAAAGUGAAAGACGGUCUUGCUGUCACUUAUAGAUGGAUCCGCGCUGCAUUAGCUAGUUGGUAAGGUAACGGCUUACCAAGGCAACGAUGCAUAGCCGACCUGAGAGGGUGAUCGGCCACACUGGAACUGAGACACGGUCCAGACUCCUACGGGAGGCGGCAGUAGGGAAUCUUCCGCAAUGGGCGAAAGCCUGACGGAGCAACGCCGCGUGAGUGAUGAAGGUCUUCGGAUCGUAAAACUCUGUUACUAGGGAAGAACAUAUGUGUAAGUAACUGUGCACAUCUUGACGGUACCUAAUCAGAAAGCCACGGCUAACUACGUG
This 495-nucleotide ribosomal RNA is filed under the name uncultured bacterium. RNAcentral's name for it is "partial 16S ribosomal RNA". It matches the Rfam family "Bacterial small subunit ribosomal RNA", at positions 30 to 507 of the family's 1533-position model. The record is from RNAcentral.